RNAcentral lists this ribosomal RNA (465 nucleotides) under uncultured bacterium. RNAcentral describes it as "partial 16S ribosomal RNA". It matches the Rfam family "Bacterial small subunit ribosomal RNA", at positions 338 to 795 of the family's 1533-position model. The record is from RNAcentral.
CCUACGGGAGGCAGCAGUAGGGAAUUUUCGUCAAUGGGCGCAAGCCUGAACGAGCGAUGCCGCGUGAGUGAAGAAGGCCUUCGGGUCGUAAAGCUCUGUUGCGGGGGAAAAAAGGCAGCAUCAGGAAAUGGGUGCUGACUGAUGGUGCCCCGCCAGAAAGUCACGACUAACUACGUGCCAGCAGCCGCGGUAAUACGUAGGUGGCGGGCGUUAUCCGGAAGGAUUGGGCGUAAAGGGUUCGCAGGCGGUCCUGCAAGUCUGGGGUGAAACGAAUGAGGUCAAAUCAGGGAUGGCUUUGGAAACUGGAGGACUGGAGAGCAGGAGAGGGCGGUGGUACUCCAUGUGUAGCGGUAAAAUGCGUAGAUAUAUGGAAGAACACCAGUGGCGAAGGCGGCCGCCUGGCCUGUUGCUGACGCUGAGGCACGAAAGCGUGGGGAGCAAAUAGGAUUAGAUACCCGUGUAGUC